UGGACUUAAUUGAAUAAGUUUCAACCUAUUGGUGCAUGCAUCAAACACUCUCCAUAUAAGUAGCGUUUGGUGUUUUCCAAUGUUAUGAUAUGUAAUGUGAUUCCUUGACAUGUGAUUAAUGGGAAUGUGAUUCAUGAGAAAGUUAAUGGAAGAUAUUGAUUAAAAUCCCAUGAAAGUUCCGACUUAGAACUGGUACGGACAAGAGGAAUCCGACUGUUUAAUUAAAACAAAGAUUGUGAUGGUCUCUGCGGAUGCUCACGCAAUGUGAUUUCUGCCCAGUGCUCUGAAUGUCAAAGGGAGUAACUAUGACUCUCUUAAGGUAGCCAAAUGCCUCGUCAUCUAAUUAGUGACGCGCAUGAAUGGAUUAACGAGAUUCCCACUGUCCCUGUUUACUAUCCACCGAAACCACAAACAAGUUUGG
This is a non-coding RNA of Gossypium hirsutum (cotton), 421 nucleotides long. The record is from Rfam. NCBI's taxonomy places the organism in Eukaryota, Viridiplantae, Streptophyta, Magnoliopsida, Malvales, Malvaceae.